GCAGGCCGCGGUAAUACGGAGGGUGCGAGCGUUAAUCGGAAUUACUGGGCGUAAAGCGCAUGCAGGUGGUUUGUUAAGUCAGAUGUGAAAGCCCGGGGCUCAACCUCGGAAUUGCAUUUGAAACUGGCAAACUAGAGUACUGUAGAGGGGGUAGAAUUUCAGGUGUAGCGGUGAAAUGCGUAGAGAUCUGAAGGAAUACCGGUGGCGAAGGCGGCCCCCUGGACAGAUACUGACACUCAGAUGCGAAAGCGUGGGGAGCAAACAGGAUUAGAUACCCUGGUAG
Molecule: ribosomal RNA, 283 nt
Filed under: uncultured bacterium
Lineage: Bacteria
Description: partial 16S ribosomal RNA
Rfam family: Bacterial small subunit ribosomal RNA
Source: RNAcentral